CACACCGCCCGUCAAGCCAUGGAAGCUGAGGGUACCCGAAGCCGCUGUGCUAACCGCAAGGGAAGCAGGCGUCUAAGGUAAAAUCAGUGACUGGGGCU
RNAcentral lists this ribosomal RNA (98 nucleotides) under uncultured bacterium. Its description in RNAcentral is "partial 16S ribosomal RNA". It matches the Rfam family "Bacterial small subunit ribosomal RNA", at positions 1386 to 1482 of the family's 1533-position model. The record is from RNAcentral.